This 303-nucleotide ribosomal RNA is filed under the name uncultured bacterium. RNAcentral's name for it is "partial 16S ribosomal RNA". It matches the Rfam family "Archaeal small subunit ribosomal RNA", at positions 457 to 760 of the family's 1478-position model. The record is from RNAcentral.
AGCAGUAGCCGCGGUAAUACCAGCACCUCGAGUGGUCAGGAGGUUUAUUGGGCCUAAAGCAUCCGUAGCCGGUUGCAUAAGUUUUCGGUUAAAUCUAUGCGCUUAACGUAUAGGCCGCCGAAAAUACUGUGCAGCUAGGGAGUGGGAGAGGUACACGGUACUCGAUAGGAAGGGGUAAAAUCCUUUGAUCUAUUGAUGACCACCUGUGGCGAAGGCGGUGUACCAGAACACGUUCGACGGUAAGGGAUGAAAGCUGGGGGAGCAAACCGGAUUAGAUACCCCCGUAGUCCCUGUCUCUUAUAC